UCCAAAUCUAAAUAAAAAAAGAUCAAGACAUCACUAUCAGAUCACAAAAUCACAAAAAGCAAAAGCUAGCAACUUCAAUUAGCAUAAUGAGGCAGCUAUUUCAGAGGGAAAGAAAAUUAAAAGUAAAAUCAACAUUUUUCUUCCUGAAUACAAACCCCAAAAUUCAGGAGCUUGAAAAGAAAUUUCUCGCAAAAAUAAAUUUAAAAUUAAAAUUUACAAUGAAAUUACGUAGUCUCAUCAAAGCAAUAUAAUCAUAAACAACCACUCAAAAUCAGGUAGAUCUAAAUCAAUUUCCAUCCACAUGAACAAAAGACACGCUUCCAACCCCAAAAUCUAAACACUAGAGAAUCUAUACCCUCCAAAUUGCACAAAUCGAAAACAAAAAAUCCCAGAAUGCAAAUCAUUUCCAGUGGAAACAAAGAUUAACAAGAAGCAG
This 436-nucleotide unclassified non-coding RNA is filed under the name Hevea brasiliensis (rubber tree). The record is from RNAcentral. Lineage: Eukaryota; Viridiplantae; Streptophyta; Magnoliopsida; Malpighiales; Euphorbiaceae.